Molecule: small nuclear RNA, 274 nt
Filed under: Neotoma lepida (desert woodrat)
Lineage: Eukaryota; Metazoa; Chordata; Mammalia; Rodentia; Cricetidae
Description: 7SK RNA
Rfam family: 7SK RNA
About the family: 7SK was discovered as an abundant small nuclear RNA in the mid-70s but a possible function has only recently been suggested.
Source: Rfam by way of RNAcentral
GGGUGACCUGUUGGGGAUACCUGUCAUCACACCAAUUACCUAGGUCAAUUUGCCUGAUCUGUCUGGUCUGGAAGGUGUCCUCUACUAUCCCAUGUGCAUGACUCUUAGAACCUGGGCACCCAGUCAGAGGAUGAUUUUCUUUGGUCGAGGAGAACNAUUCUUUUAUCAAGGCUAUACAAGCAGCUGCAUCCCCUUGGUGAAACCUCCAGACAUCCCAAGGUCCACACCAAGAAUGAGAACUAUCUCUCCCUGCAUUUUUCACCAGACCUUCUCU